Molecule: non-coding RNA, 74 nt
Organism: Peromyscus californicus insignis
Lineage: Eukaryota; Metazoa; Chordata; Mammalia; Rodentia; Cricetidae
Source: the annotation of a RefSeq genome assembly
GGCUCCAUGGCUUAGUUGGUUAAAGUGCCUGUCUCAUAAUCAGGAGACCCUGGAUUCAAAUACCAGUGGGGUCU